This 254-nucleotide ribosomal RNA is filed under the name uncultured bacterium. RNAcentral's name for it is "partial 16S ribosomal RNA". It matches the Rfam family "Bacterial small subunit ribosomal RNA", at positions 524 to 776 of the family's 1533-position model. The record is from RNAcentral.
UACGGAGGGCGCGAGCGUUGUCCGGAAUCACUGGGCGUCAAGGGCGCGUAGGCGGCCCUGGUAAGUCUGCGGUGAAAGCCCAGGGCUCAACCCCGGGUCGGCCGCGGGUACUGCCGGGCUGGAGUGCCGUAGGGGCAGGCGGAAUUCCGGGUGUAGCGGUGGAAUGCGUAGAGAUCCGGAAGAACACCGGUGGCGAAGGCGGCCUGCUGGGCGGCGACUGACGCUGAGGCGCGACAGCGUGGGGAGCAAACAGG